Molecule: long non-coding RNA, 398 nt
Organism: Arabidopsis thaliana (thale cress)
Lineage: Eukaryota; Viridiplantae; Streptophyta; Magnoliopsida; Brassicales; Brassicaceae
Product: other RNA
Exons: 1
Source: RefSeq
CGUUGUCUCUUUCUUUAGUAUCUACUAGUAAUAUUUUUAUUUUAUUGAAACAUAUGAAUAGCGAACAAAAUUUGUGGUCAAAUGGUGAUAAUCGUGGACACAGUGACAUUUCUUUAGCUCCUACUGUGAAUUAUUGCAAGAAAAGUAGACGAUGGACCUUGGUGCCGACGUGCCGCCGUGGGUUUUGGAGCUAGCUGGGGAAGUAUCAAGUAUGUUUGUUGAUGUAAGAUUUCUCGUAUGUGAGGGUUUAGUGGAAACAGACGUGUCUUGAAUCAAGGGAGCCUAUAGAAUGUUGGUUUAGUCCGGUUAUGGGAAGUUUGUUAGAUUUGAUGACCUGAAUUACUUGUUUUUUUGUUGGACUUGUUUUACAAGUACAGUAGUUCGGAUCGAUGAGUAUU